This is a non-coding RNA of Urocitellus parryii (Arctic ground squirrel), 623 nucleotides long. NCBI's taxonomy places the organism in Eukaryota, Metazoa, Chordata, Mammalia, Rodentia, Sciuridae. The record is from RefSeq and is a predicted model, not a curated record.
CUGAGGACCUUACACUGCUUUUCCUGACGCCCAUCUGAGUUCUGUGCCUYGGAACUGAAGCCUGCUCACAGGCACAAUCUUGCAAAGGCCCCGGCAAGAAGGAGAGACAGACGGCACUGAGUUGGAGAACCACAUUUUCAAACUCUGGAUGGGACCAGAAAGAACAGGGAUAAAAAAGGAAUUGAAAGCCACCGUCACAGGCAGGCCCCACACUGCCUGCAAGCGCUGACCUCAGUGGCGCCAGAUGCAUACACUGUUUGUAUGACCUUUGACCUGUGGAAUCAGUCUGUGGCAAUGACCCUUAUGUGCUCCACCCUAGAGCAGAACCUUAUGGAAAUCAAACAUCCCAUGAACACCCAGCUGCCCCAUAGGCGUGGAUGUUUAAAUGGACGGAGUAGAAAGAGGCUUCAAGUCCUGCUCAGCCCCUAAUGGCCCACGAGAACAGCCAGCGAUUCCACCUGCCGGAGCUGGAGCCACCACUCACUGCCUCUCCUGCAGCCUGCAGAGGAAUGUUCUGUGUGGCACGGAGGAUCGUGAGGAUGCAGCAAGGUAACCAGAGCGCCAGGUGCACACAGAGAAGGAAGUCAAAGCUCCUCCCAGUCGGACACAAAUUCUAGGAUCCA